This is a long non-coding RNA of Eriocheir sinensis (Chinese mitten crab), 516 nucleotides long. RefSeq lists it as uncharacterized. The record is from RefSeq and is a predicted model, not a curated record. NCBI's taxonomy places the organism in Eukaryota, Metazoa, Arthropoda, Malacostraca, Decapoda, Varunidae. The transcript is spliced from 3 exons.
UGAUCCCCCAGACCACAUGACCUUAUGGCUAGAUGACCAAUGCUUCCCUACCAGGUCACAGAGGGGUCAAAACACGCUAGCAAGGUCACCAGAGGGAAAUAUAUAUAACCAAACUUGCAGAAUGGGAAAAUUUAAUCAGGUAGAAACUUGUAUAUUUGACCUUAUAUCUCCUCUCCCUGACCUUACUUGACCCCCUAGACCACAUGACCUUAUGGCUAGAUGACCAAUGCUUCCCUACCAGGUCACACAGGGGUCAAAACACGCUAGCAAGGUCAACAGAGGGAAAAAUAUAUGACCAACUUGCAGAAUGGGAAAAUUUAAUCAGGUAAAAACUCGUAUAUUUGACCCGAUAUCUCCUCUCCCUGACCUCAUAUGACCCCCUAGACCACAUGACCUUAUGGCUAGAUGACCAAUGCAUCCCUACCAGGUCACAGAGGGGUCAAAACACGCUAGCAAGGUCACCAGAGGGAAAAAUAUAUGAACCGAACUUGCAGAAUGAGAAAAUUUAAUCAGGUA